CACUCGAGGCACUGUCCCAGAUAACGGCGAGUGAAGCGGCAAAAGCUCCAAUUUUGAAAUCCCCCCGGGGAGUUGUAAUUUGAAGACUAGGGGAUUUGGCCCAAACCUGCGCAAGUCCAUUGGAACAUGGCGCCCAAGAGGGUGAGAGCCCCGCCGCGCAGGCCGCAGCCUUGACAUCCCCCCGUCAAAGAGUCGAGUUGUUUGGGAAUGCAGCUCAAAGUGGGUGGCAAAUUCCAUCUAAAGCUAAAUAUUGGCGAGAGACCGAUAGCGAACAAGUACAGUGAUGGAAAGAUGAAAAGCACUUUGAAAAGAGAGUGAAACAGUACGUGAAAUUGUUGAAAGGGAAGGGCUUGCAAGCAGACACGAGUUCGCUCGGGGCAGCCUCAGUUUCGCGAGGUGGACAACACGCCGGGAAUGUGGCAGGCUCCGGCCUGUGUUAUAGCCUGCGCGCCAUACACCUCCGCGAGAUUGAGGCCUGCUCCCAAAGGAUGCUGGCGUAAUGGUUGCAAGUCGCCCGUCUGAAAACGGGGCCAAAAAAAAAUCC
This 544-nucleotide ribosomal RNA is filed under the name Helenozyma melibiosica. Its description in RNAcentral is "eukaryotic LSU rRNA". It matches the Rfam family "Eukaryotic large subunit ribosomal RNA", at positions 66 to 664 of the family's 3401-position model. Lineage: Eukaryota; Fungi; Ascomycota; Pichiomycetes; Serinales; Metschnikowiaceae. The record is from RNAcentral.